AUUGAACGCUGGCGGCAGGCCUAACACAUGCAAGUCGAGCGGAUGAAGGGAGCUUGCUCCUGGAUUCAGCGGCGGACGGGUGAGUAAUGCCUAGGAAUCUGCCUGGUAGUGGGGGAUAACGUCCGGAAACGGGCGCUAAUACCGCAUACGUCCUGAGGGAGAAAGUGGGGGAUCUUCGGACCUCACGCUAUCAGAUGAGCCUAGGGCGGAUUAGCUAGUUGGUGGGGUAAAGGCCUACCAAGGCGACGAUCCGUAACUGGUCUGAGAGGAUGAUCAGUCACACUGGAACUGAGACACGGUCCAGACUCCUACGGGAGGCAGCAGUGGGGAAUAUUGGACAAUGGGCGAAAGCCUGAUCCAGCCAUGCCGCGUGUGUGAAGAAGGUCUUCGGAUUGUAAAGCACUUUAAGUUGGGAGGAAGGGCAGUAAGUUAAUACCUGGCUGUUUUGACGGUACCAACAGAAUAAGCACCGGCUAACUUCGUG
RNAcentral lists this ribosomal RNA (484 nucleotides) under uncultured bacterium. RNAcentral describes it as "partial 16S ribosomal RNA". It matches the Rfam family "Bacterial small subunit ribosomal RNA", at positions 30 to 507 of the family's 1533-position model. The record is from RNAcentral.